This is a long non-coding RNA of Camellia sinensis, 570 nucleotides long. RefSeq lists it as uncharacterized. NCBI's taxonomy places the organism in Eukaryota, Viridiplantae, Streptophyta, Magnoliopsida, Ericales, Theaceae. The record is from RefSeq and is a predicted model, not a curated record.
CCAUUUAGGCUUUAGCUAUUUUAAACUUUGUGUCAAUCACUUCUACACCUAUAUAAGCUCAUAUUAAACAAUCUGAAUUUUUUUAUAUGGUUGGGAUUGUUUGUCUUAUUUUUGGUUGAAUUUGGAUUGAAGGUUUACCGAGCAUGAUAGCAAUAGGGACUUCAACAUGCAACGGUUUCAUGACAAAAGGAAAUCUACCUGGAAGGUUGAAGACUUUGGAGUGAAUCUUGUUUUAGCCUCUUAUGAUGAUAAAGAAGCCUUAAGAAGUUAGGGAGAGGGAACUGAGUGGAAUGCCUAUUCCUUUUGAGUUUGAGGAUUGUGAUAGUGAUGAUUUCAAGGAUCUCUUGAUGAAUGAGACUCCUUCAAAUAUUAUUUAUUGAGCAAAAGUGCUUGCAGGCCUCUUGGAAGAUCAGCAUAUGACAGAGACUCAUUACUUGUUUUCCUGGCAGGUGGGUGACACAGGAAGAGGCAUUUGCUGCAUCUGAAACUUCUUCAAAUUCAACUAAAAAAAAAAGCCCAGAUGGCUUUGUUGCGUGGACUUGUGGAUAAUCCAUAUUGGUGUAUGGAGAA